CACCGAUGCUUGCACUCCGGGGUCGGGACAAAGGCAUCACCUCUAGGUUCCUCCUGUCUGGGCACUCCGGCCCUGGCCCAAACCCUCUCCGGUUUCCCGAGCCCGACACUCCAGAGCACCGAGCCCUGGAGACGGAGGCCGCGAUUCAGGCCUCGGGUGAGCACCGGCGUCCUGGCGCUCCCGCGAUCCUGUCAGCGGCCAGCGGGCCUCACGGUCCCUGUAGGACUGGCGCGGCGACCCUCCGAGCCGGCGCCGCCAGACGCUCCGGCGAACCCGUCAGGUGCUGAGCGGCCGGGCCAAGCCCGCCGCCAGAUGGGAGCAGGGGCGGCACUUACCCGGCAGCGCCUCCUCCGCCCGCGGCAGCGACACAGCCGGCGGCCCUCCGCACCAUCUUCUGCCGCCGCCCUGGCCUCGGCGGCGGCUAUCAACCGCCCCUGCGGCGCCGCCAACCGACACAACCGUCGGCGCCGGGCCGCCGAGUACUCCGGCGAGGCCCGGAAGGAUGGGAGUCGGGCGCAGCCGCUGCUCCGGCCCCUCGGCUCCGCGCGGGGACCCGAGUCCGCCGGCCGAGGCACAGAGAGCUUGGCAGGGCUGGGUCGCGGCCGCCGUGGGGUUUGUUAUUGUCGACUGGGCCUUUCCGCCGCAGAGCACGCCGGGAAACAGCCAGCCGGGGGAGGGGUGA
Molecule: long non-coding RNA, 682 nt
Filed under: Mus caroli (Ryukyu mouse)
Lineage: Eukaryota; Metazoa; Chordata; Mammalia; Rodentia; Muridae
Description: lncRNA (MGP_CAROLIEiJ_G0002294.1)
Source: RNAcentral